This 486-nucleotide ribosomal RNA is filed under the name uncultured bacterium. RNAcentral's name for it is "partial 16S ribosomal RNA". It matches the Rfam family "Bacterial small subunit ribosomal RNA", at positions 30 to 507 of the family's 1533-position model. The record is from RNAcentral.
AUUGAACGCUGGCGGCAUGCCUUACACAUGCAAGUCGAACGGCAGCACGGGUGCUUGCACCUGGUGGCGAGUGGCGAACGGGUGAGUAAUACAUCGGCACAUGUCCUGUAGCGGGGGCUAGCCCGGCGAAAGCCGGAUUAAUACCGCAUACGAUCUACGGAUGAAAGAGGGGGACCUUCGGGCCUCGCGCUAUAGGGUUGGCCGAUGGCUGAUUAGCUAGUUGGUGGGGUAAAGGCCUACCAAGGCGACGAUCAGUAGCUGGUCUGAGAGGACGACCAGCCACACUGGGACUGAGACACGGCCCAGACUCCUACGGGAGGCAGCAGUGGGGAAUGUUGGACAAUGGGCGAAAGCCUGAUCCAGCAAUGCCACGUGUGUGAAGAAGGCCUUCGGGUUGUAAAGCACUUUUGUCCGGAAAGAAAUCCUUGGUCCUAAUACGGUCGGGGGAUGACGGUACCGGAAGAAUAAGCACCGGCUAACUACGUG